AUGGAGGAGCUGCUGGGCACGGAGAUCGGGAAGCACGACUACGACUGGCUUCUUACUCCCCCGGGAACACCCCGUGCUCCUGCACUGGAGGUUGCUGAGAAAGCCCCACCAUCAAAUGUGCCUAAACGGACCGUCACUAGAUCUUCCUCAACCACCAGAGCAUCAAGGCUUUCUGUUGAUGAAACAGAGAAUGGGCAUUCAGCAGCUCCCAAUAGACCAGUGCGAAGCAUGUCCCGACCUUCAAACAGGUCAUCAGUGCUCACUCCAAGCAUUUCUUCUGUCAGUUCGAGACCUACUACCCCGACCAAGAGGACUAGCACUCUUCCCUCUUCAAUGCCAUCAGCUCCAGCUUCACGUCCAGUGGCAGCACGAUCAUCUACUCCGGUCAAAACCCGUCCACCUACCCCGGUCAAAACUCGUCCAUCUACUCCAGUCAAAAACUGUCCUUAUGGUUCCGGCUCCAUGGCCAACUCAACCUCUGUGAAGAGCACAUCUGCGCAGAACUCAAGGUCAUCAACUCCAACCUCUCGACCCCGAAGCAUUUCCAGCUCAUCAUCAAGCACGGCUCCUUCAGUGAGUCGUCCCAGUUCAUCCUCUGGUAGAAUUCCUGCAAUUGUUCGUACCAGCUCUUCCUCAAGUACAGCUUCAGUGACCCGUUCUAGCUCUCGAUCGUCUACACCUACACGCCAGCCUGUCAUGCGUCCAUCAGCUCCAUCCAUAGCUCGCUCACCUUCAGUUGGGAGGAUUUCUGGUAGCAAUAACUUAACAUCUAGUGGACGAUCAGCAGCCAGCCGUGGUCGAAUGUCAGCACCUUCCUCAGCACCAUCAUCCCGUCCAAGUUCCCCAAAUACACGUCCGCGAGCUCCAGUUAGGCCACUAGAUAUUCCAGAUUUUCCAAGUGACACUCCUCCUAACCUAAGGACAAAGCUACCAGAAAGGCCACUCUCUGCUGGUAGAGCACGGCCAGGAAUUGGUUUGGGAACCAGGUCAACCCUGAAUGCUGAACCAGUUACCUCAGCUCCUGUGAAGAAGAUAUCUGUGCCUGCUAUUACUCGAAAUAAGUUUUCUGAUGCACCAUCCAAGACACCUUCUCUUACCAAUGGACACCAGAAUCGACAAACGGAGAGAUCUGUUAUGGACAGUCAGCCUGCUAGACCCUCUCGGUCUGCCACAAGUGAAGAAAAUGGAUUUGGCAGGACGAUAUCAAGGAAGUCACUUGACAUGGCAAUCAGGCACAUGGACAUUCGACAUAACCUGGGUGGCAUCCGAGGUGCAUCUCUAUUUCCUCAUAGCAUCCGGUCUUCUGCUCCCAAGGGCCGUUCAGCUCGAAUGUCCGAUCCUGGCCAUCACACCUCAAAUGGCGAGCAGGACGCAUACACCGACAGUGGCAGCAUCAACGGGCACUUCUCCGGCGAUUCCAUUGGAGCCCUUUCACACUAUGGUGGGAGCUCAACUGAGUCCCCAGACAGAGAAAGCAUGGGAACUAAAGAGACGCUGAGCGAACUGGAUAUGUAUGGCAGCUCAAGGUAUGAGGAGAUGCUACUAAGGGAGGACACGAAGAACACGGACUGGCUGCACAGCGUCGACGACAAGUCGGACCAGAGCCCCGUGUUCGAUCACCGGUUCGAGCCGCUCCCAGAGCCGUUUGGUCCGCUGUGA
RNAcentral lists this ribosomal RNA (1659 nucleotides) under Triticum aestivum (bread wheat). RNAcentral describes it as "partial small subunit ribosomal RNA". Lineage: Eukaryota; Viridiplantae; Streptophyta; Magnoliopsida; Poales; Poaceae. The record is from RNAcentral.